UUUGGAUAAAAGUUAGAGUCAUUUUUCUUUGUCUGAGCGAAUUGAUAACGCGCACUUGUUCCAAAAUUUAUUUCAACUUCUAAAAAAAGUUUCAAGGCAUGUGUUAUUUGCGGGCGGUAUUUUCACCAAUAUUCAUCUUCGUUGCAUUUUGUUUUCCAUAUGCAGAUUGCAUGUGUGCGAAAUCCUCUUGGUGCAGUGAUGCAGCCUGGAGAGUGACUCAGAGGGCCUACUGUCCGCAGGGAUUCAACCCACACGAUGAGUCAUUCUGCGCCGUUCAGUGGGACAGGUCCUCACCAAUCACAAGACAACAUAGAUAUCGAGCUCUGACUCUCAGAGGCUUGCCUCCCUCUGAAAUAUGCGACAAGUAUGGGGUCAACAGAGACACAGACAUGUUCCAGAUAUGUGAUGCCCUGCCAACUGACACUGUGUCAUGCAAUACAUACACUCGGUCUAAAUCUUUGAAGUUCAUGACAUGUGACGAGAUUGAAGAAAAAUAUGGGGCUACGAGUACUACUGAAAUGGCGUCCAGUACUCCAAGCCCUGUUGCAAGUAGACUUCUACCCCUUACAUUGAGCUCGAUCACUUCCAAAUUGAAUCCGACUACCUCCAGUCCCCUAAAAACCAGUGCAGAAA
Long non-coding RNA from Symsagittifera roscoffensis, 633 nucleotides. RefSeq lists it as uncharacterized. The record is from RefSeq and is a predicted model, not a curated record. Lineage: Eukaryota; Metazoa; Xenacoelomorpha; Acoela; Convolutidae. The transcript has 4 exons.